GGGAUAAGCGGAAGAAAUUCCGCCUAAUACCGCGUAAUAACUCCGAGAGGCAUCUCCUGGGGUUUAAAGGGUAACACCGGCUACGGAUGGCCAUGCGGCGCAUUAGCUAGUUGGCGGGGUAACGGCCCACCAAGGCGACGAUGCGUAGGGGUUCUGAGAGGAAGGUCCCCCACACUGGUACUGAGACACGGACCAGACUCCUACGGGAGGCAGCAGUGAGGAAUAUUGGUCAAUGGGCGCGAGCCUGAACCAGCCAAGUCGCGUGAGGGAAGACGGUCCUAUGGAUUGUAAACCUCUUUUGUCGGGGAGCAAAAGACGCCACGCGUGGCGUUCCGAGAGUACCCGAAGAAAAAGCAUCGGCUAACUCCGUGCCAGCAGCCGCGGUAAUACGGAGGAUGCGAGCGUUAUCCGGAUUUAUUGGGUUUAAAGGGUGCGCAGGCGGAAGAUCAAGUCAGCGGUAAAAUUGAGAGGCUCAACCUCUUCGAGCCGUUGAAACUGGUUUUCUUGAGUGAGCGAGAAGUAUGCGGAAUGCGUGGUGUAGCGGUGAAAUGCAUAGAUAUCACGCAGAACUCCGAUUGCGAAGGCAGCAUACCGGCGCUCAACUGACGCUCAUGCACGAAAGUGUGGGUAUCGAACAGGAUUAGAUACCCUGGUAGUCCACACAGUAAACGAUGAAUAAUAAUUGUUCGGG
Molecule: ribosomal RNA, 691 nt
Filed under: uncultured bacterium
Lineage: Bacteria
Description: bacterial SSU rRNA
Rfam family: Bacterial small subunit ribosomal RNA
Source: RNAcentral